RNAcentral lists this ribosomal RNA (253 nucleotides) under uncultured bacterium. RNAcentral's name for it is "partial 16S ribosomal RNA". It matches the Rfam family "Bacterial small subunit ribosomal RNA", at positions 524 to 776 of the family's 1533-position model. The record is from RNAcentral.
UACGGGGGGGGCAAGCGUUGUUCGGAAUUACUGGGCGUAAAGGGCUCGUAGGCGGCCAACUAAGUCAGACGUGAAAUCCCUCAGCUUAACUGGGGAACUGCGUCUGAGACUGGUGAGCUUGAGUGCAGGAGAGGAACGCGGAAUUCCAGGUGUAGCGGUGAAAUGCGUAGAUAUCUGGAGGAACACCGGUGGCGAAGGCGGCGUUCUGGACUGCAACUGACACUGAGGAACGAAAGCCAGGGGAGCAAACGGG